This 651-nucleotide ribosomal RNA is filed under the name Triticum aestivum (bread wheat). RNAcentral describes it as "partial small subunit ribosomal RNA". Lineage: Eukaryota; Viridiplantae; Streptophyta; Magnoliopsida; Poales; Poaceae. The record is from RNAcentral.
ACAGAUUGUAAAAUUGAUCCGAGGUCAUUUGAGUUUAAGUACAACAAUUUUCGCAAACCUGAGACAUUGUGGCCAUCCGAAGAUAAUGUUGAGCUGCCCUUGCAUUUCAACAUUUCACACACUACUUCUUUGAUUGCCUGUGGCAUGGCUAUGGAUGAUAUUGGCAUCGAUAUUGAAGAGAAGAAGCGGAAGACAACCAAGAGUAUUUUAUCUCUUGCUCGUCGUUUUUUCACCCCUUCAGAAGUUGAUUAUCUCGCUGAGAUUUCUGAUUUGUAUGCUCAGGAAAAGGAAUUCUUCAAACUAUGGACUCUUAAAGAAGCAUAUGUAAAGGCUCUUGGAUUGGGUUUGUCAGGUGCUUCACUCAGUGAGUUUACAAUCAACUUGGCAACAAGCAAGGGAGUUCGGGUUUCUAAGGCAUCGAAGGUAUGUAAACAUUCCAACCCUGGGUGUGGUCAUCUGUCCGAGAAUUGGCUAUUUGCACUCGCGAAGCUAAAUAGUUCUCAUUAUAUGGCAGUUUGUAUGGAGGAUGACUCGAGAUGUCUAGGUCCUGAAAGUAGUCCAGUGCCAGUAGGAUUAAAAGUAUGGAAGACUAUACCAUUUGUAGAAGAUACACUUGUCUCUGGAACAGAAGCUGUCAAACUUAUUCCUUGA